This 253-nucleotide ribosomal RNA is filed under the name uncultured bacterium. Its description in RNAcentral is "partial 16S ribosomal RNA". It matches the Rfam family "Bacterial small subunit ribosomal RNA", at positions 524 to 776 of the family's 1533-position model. The record is from RNAcentral.
UACGGGGGGGGUAAGCGUUGUUCGGAAUUACUGGGCGUAAAGGGCUCGUAGGCGGCCAACUAAGUCAGACGUGAAAUCCCUCAGCUUAACUGGGGAACUGCGUCUGAUACUGGAUGGCUUGGAUCCGGAAGAGGGAUGCGGAAUUCCAGGUGUAGCGGUGAAAUGCGUAGAUAUCUGGAGGAACACCGGUGGCGAAGGCGGCGUUCUGGACUGCAACUGACACUGAGGAACGAAAGCCAGGGGAGCAAACGGG